UCAUAUGCUUGUCUCAAAGAUUAAGCCAUGCAUGUCUAAGUACAUACCGCAUUAAGGUGAAAACCGCGAAAGGCUCAUUAAAUCAGUUAUGGUUCCUUAGAUCGUACAAAUCCUACUUGGAUAACUGUGGUAAUUCUAGAGCUAAUACAUGCCGAUAAUGCUCCGACCACUCGCCCGGGACGAGCGCUUUUAUUAGAACAAGACCAAUACGGGCCCCUCGAAACCGCGGUGCAAACCGCGGCGUAGAACCCGUCCAAAACUUGGUGACUCUGGAUAACUUUGAGCUGAUCGCACGGUCCUAGCACCGGCGACGCAUCUUUCAAAUGUCUGACUUAUCAACUGUCGAUGGUAGGUUAUGUGCCUACCAUGGUUAUAACGGGUAACGGAGAAUCAGGGUUCGAUUCCGGAGAGGGAGCCUGAGAAACGGCUACCACAUCCAAGGAAGGCAGCAGGCACGCAAAUUACCCACUCCCGGCACGGGGAGGUAGUGACGAAAAAUAACAAUACGAGACUCUUCCGAGGCCUCGUAAUUGGAAUGAGCACAUUUUAAAACCUUUAGCGAGGAUCUAUUGGAGGGCAAGUCUGGUGCCAGCAGCCGCGGUAAUUCCA
RNAcentral lists this ribosomal RNA (609 nucleotides) under Henicops dentatus. RNAcentral's name for it is "bacterial SSU rRNA". It matches the Rfam family "Eukaryotic small subunit ribosomal RNA", at positions 24 to 587 of the family's 1831-position model. The record is from RNAcentral. Lineage: Eukaryota; Metazoa; Arthropoda; Chilopoda; Lithobiomorpha; Henicopidae.